RNAcentral lists this ribosomal RNA (501 nucleotides) under uncultured bacterium. RNAcentral describes it as "bacterial SSU rRNA". It matches the Rfam family "Bacterial small subunit ribosomal RNA", at positions 8 to 498 of the family's 1533-position model. The record is from RNAcentral.
AGAGUUUGAUCAUGGCUCAGAUUGAACGCUGGCGGCAGGCCUAACACAUGCAAGUCGAACGGUAACAGGAAGAAGCUUGCUUCUUUGCUGACGAGUGGCGGACGGGUGAGUAAUGUCUGGGAAACUGCCUGAUGGAGGGGGAUAACUACUGGAAACGGUAGCUAAUACCGCAUAACGUCGCAAGACCAAAGAGGGGGACCUUCGGGCCUCUUGCCAUCGGAUGUGCCCAGAUGGGAUUAGCUAGUAGGUGGGGUAACGGCUCACCUAGGCGACGAUCCCUAGCUGGUCUGAGAGGAUGACCAGCCACACUGGAACUGAGACACGGUCCAGACUCCUACGGGAGGCAGCAGUGGGGAAUAUUGCACAAUGGGCGCAAGCCUGAUGCAGCCAUGCUGCGUGUAUGAAGAAGGCCUUCGGGUUGUAAAGUACUUUCAGCGGGGAGGAAGGGAGUAAAGUUAAUACCUUUGCUCAUUGACGUUACCCGCAGAAGAAGCACCGCGG